Molecule: ribosomal RNA, 351 nt
Filed under: uncultured Thiobacillus sp.
Lineage: Bacteria; Pseudomonadati; Pseudomonadota; Betaproteobacteria; Nitrosomonadales; Thiobacillaceae
Description: bacterial SSU rRNA
Rfam family: Bacterial small subunit ribosomal RNA
Source: RNAcentral
AAUUGGAACACAGGUGCUGCAUGGCUGUCGUCAGCUCGUGUCGUGAGAUGUUGGGUUAAGUCCCGCAACGAGCGCAACCCUUAUCAUUAGUUGCUACGCAAGGGCACUCUAAUGAGACUGCCGGUGACAAACCGGAGGAAGGUGGGGAUGACGUCAAGUCCUCAUGGCCCUUAUGGGUAGGGCUUCACACGUCAUACAAUGGUCGGUACAGAGGGUUGCCAAGCCGCGAGGUGGAGCCAAUCCCAGAAAGCCGAUCGUAGUCCGGAUUGUUCUCUGCAACUCGAGAGCAUGAAGUCGGAAUCGCUAGUAAUCGCGGAUCAGCAUGUCGCGGUGAAUACGUUCCCGGGUCUU